This 498-nucleotide ribosomal RNA is filed under the name uncultured bacterium. RNAcentral's name for it is "partial 16S ribosomal RNA". It matches the Rfam family "Bacterial small subunit ribosomal RNA", at positions 29 to 523 of the family's 1533-position model. The record is from RNAcentral.
AUUGAACGCUGGCGGCAUGCUUUACACAUGCAAGUCGAACGGUAACAGGCCGCAAGGUGCUGACGAGUGGCGAACGGGUGAGUAAUGCAUCGGAACGUGCCCAGUCGUGGGGGAUAACGCAGCGAAAGCUGCGCUAAUACCGCAUACGAUCUAUGGAUGAAAGCGGGGGACCGUAAGGCCUCGCGCGAUUGGAGCGGCCGAUGUCAGAUUAGGUAGUUGGUGGGGUAAAGGCUCACCAAGCCAACGAUCUGUAGCUGGUCUGAGAGGACGACCAGCCACACUGGGACUGAGACACGGCCCAGACUCCUACGGGAGGCAGCAGUGGGGAAUUUUGGACAAUGGGCGCAAGCCUGAUCCAGCAAUGCCGCGUGCAGGAAGAAGGCCUUCGGGUUGUAAACUGCUUUUGUACGGAACGAAACGGCUCUGGUUAAUACCUGGGGAUAAUGACAGUACCGGGAGAAUAAGCCCCGGCUAACUCCGUGCCAGCAGCCGCGGUAA